Molecule: ribosomal RNA, 462 nt
Filed under: uncultured bacterium
Lineage: Bacteria
Description: partial 16S ribosomal RNA
Rfam family: Bacterial small subunit ribosomal RNA
Source: RNAcentral
CCUACGGGUGGCAGCAGUGAGGAAUAUUGGUCAAUGGGAGAGAUCCUGAACCAGCCAAGCCGCGUGAGGGAAGACGGCCCUAUGGGUUGUAAACCUCUUUUGUACGAGGGUAAACGCAGAUACGUGUAUCUGUCUGAAAGUCUCGUUCGAAUAAGGAACGGCUAACUCCGUGCCAGCAGCCGCGGUCAUACGGAGGGGCCGAGCAUUAUCCGGAGUGACUGGGGGUAAAGAGUGGGGUAGGUGGGAUAAUAAGUAGCUAGUGAAACCUGGUGGCUCAACCAUUCAGACUAUUAGCUAAACUGUUAGGCUGGAGACCGUUAGGGGUAAGUGGAAUGUCUGGUGUAGGAGUGAAAUCCGUAGAUAUUAGAAGGAACACCAGUGGCGUAGGCAGGUUACUGGGACGGUUCUGACGCUGAGGCACGAAAGCGUAGGGAGCAAACAGGAUUAGAUACCCGUGUAGUC